This 866-nucleotide ribosomal RNA is filed under the name uncultured bacterium. RNAcentral's name for it is "bacterial SSU rRNA". It matches the Rfam family "Bacterial small subunit ribosomal RNA", at positions 566 to 1439 of the family's 1533-position model. The record is from RNAcentral.
GGUCCGUAGGCGGCUUUAUAAGUCAGUGGUGAAAGCCCAUCGCUUAACGAUGGAACGGCCAUUGAUACUGUAGAGCUUGAAUUACUUGGAAGUAACUAGAAUAUGUAGUGUAGCGGUGAAAUGCUUAGAUAUUACAUGGAAUACCAAUUGCGAAGGCAGGUUACUACAAGUGGAUUGACGCUGAUGGACGAAAGCGUGGGGAGCGAACAGGAUUAGAUACCCUGGUAGUCCACGCCGUAAACGAUGGAUACUAGCUGUUCGGAGCAAUCUGAGUGGCUAAGCGAAAGUGAUAAGUAUCCCACCUGGGGAGUACGCACGCAAGUGUGAAACUCAAAGGAAUUGACGGGGGCCCGCACAAGCGGAGGAGCAUGUGGUUUAAUUCGAUGAUACGCGAGGAACCUUACCAGGGCUUAAAUGGGAGACGACAGUUUGGGAAACCAGAUUUUCUUCGGACGUCUUUCAAGGUGCUGCAUGGUUGUCGUCAGCUCGUGCCGUGAGGUGUCAGGUUAAGUCCUAUAACGAGCGCAACCCCUAUUGUUAGUUGCCAGCGGGUCAUGCCGGGAACUCUAACAAGACUGCCGGUGCAAACCGUGAGGAAGGUGGGGAUGACGUCAAAUCAUCACGGCCCUUACGUCCUGGGCUACACACGCGCUACAAUGGACGGUACAGAGAGCAGCCACUGCGCAAGCAGGCGCGAAUCUUCAAAGCCGUUCUCAGUUCGGAUCGGAGUCUGCAACUCGACUCCGUGAAGCUGGAUUCGCUAGUAAUCGCAUAUCAGCCAUGAUGCGGUGAAUACGUUCCCGGGCCUUGUACACACCGCCCGUCAAGCCAUGGAAGCUGGGGGUACCUGAAGUCGGUGACCGCAA